ACUUUCAGUAGGGAGGAAGGUAGUGUACGUUAACACCUGCAUUAUUUGACGUUACCUACAGAAGAAGCACCGGCUAACUCCGUGCCAGCAGCCGCGGUAAUACGGAGGGUGCGAGCGUUAAUCGGAAUUACUGGGCGUAAAAGCGCAUGCAGGCGGCCUGUUAAGUCAGAUGUGAAAAGCCCGGGCUUAAACCUCGGAAAUUGCAUUUGAAAACUGGCAGGCUAGAGUCUUGUAGAGGGGGUAGAAUUUCAGGUGUAGCGGUGAAAAUGCGUAGAGAUCUGAAGGAAUACCAGUGGCGAAGGCGGCCCCUGGACAAAGACUGACGCUCAGAUGCGAAAGCGUGGGGAGCAAACAGGAUUAGAUACCCUCGGUAG
RNAcentral lists this ribosomal RNA (374 nucleotides) under uncultured bacterium. Its description in RNAcentral is "bacterial SSU rRNA". It matches the Rfam family "Bacterial small subunit ribosomal RNA", at positions 432 to 793 of the family's 1533-position model. The record is from RNAcentral.